GAUGAAGAACGUAGCGAAAUGCGAUAAGUAAUGUGAAUUGCAGAAUUCAGUGAAUCAUCGAAUCUUUGAACGCACCUUGCGCCCUUUGGCUAUUCCGAAGGGCAUGCCUGUUUGAGUAUCGUGAACACCUCAACUCUCAUGGUUUGCCAUGAUGAGCUUGGACUUUGGGGGUUUUGCUGGCCUUUGGUCGGCUCCUCUCAAACGGAUCAGCUUUCCAGUGUUUGGUGGCGUCACGGGUGUGAUAACUAUCUACGCCUGUGGUUUUCUGCCAGAUAACCUUCAGCGAUGGAGGUUCGCUGGGGCUCAUAAAUGUCUCUCUUCAGUGGAGACAGCUUUUUGGACGUUUGAUCUCAAAUCAGGUAGGACUACCCGCUGAACUUAAGCAUAUCAAUAAGCGAGGA
Molecule: unclassified non-coding RNA, 401 nt
Filed under: soil metagenome
Description: partial contains 5.8S ribosomal RNA, internal transcribed spacer 2, and large subunit ribosomal RNA
Rfam family: 5.8S ribosomal RNA (bases 1-121)
Source: RNAcentral